RNAcentral lists this transfer RNA (96 nucleotides) under Ipomoea nil (Japanese morning glory). It matches the Rfam family "tRNA". Rfam says of the family: Transfer RNA (tRNA) molecules are approximately 80 nucleotides in length. Their secondary structure includes four short double-helical elements and three loops (D, anti-codon, and T loops). Lineage: Eukaryota; Viridiplantae; Streptophyta; Magnoliopsida; Solanales; Convolvulaceae. The record is from Rfam by way of RNAcentral.
GCACCUGUAGCUCAGUGGAUAGAGCGUCUGUUUCCUAAGCAAUAGAGCGUUUGUUUCCUAAGCCAAAAGUCGUAGGUUCGACCCCUACCUAGUGCA